Molecule: unclassified non-coding RNA, 263 nt
Filed under: plant metagenome
Description: partial contains small subunit ribosomal RNA, internal transcribed spacer 1, and 5.8S ribosomal RNA
Source: RNAcentral
UUUCCGUAGGUGAACCUGCGGAAGGAUCAUUAUUGUAUAACCGAGGUGCGAGGGCAGUCGCUGACCCGAAAGGUCGUGCACGCCCGAGUGCCCUCACACACAUCCAUCUCACCCCUAUGUGCACCACCGCGUGGGUCCCCCUUUGGCUUGUUCGGAGGGGGGCUUACGUGUUCACACAAACUUUGUAUGCAGUGUAGAAUGUAUUUUUUGUUUUUGCGAUCACGCAAUCAAUACAACUUUCAACAACGGAUCUCUUGGCUCUC